Molecule: ribosomal RNA, 1607 nt
Filed under: Salmonella enterica subsp. enterica serovar Stanley
Lineage: Bacteria; Pseudomonadati; Pseudomonadota; Gammaproteobacteria; Enterobacterales; Enterobacteriaceae
Description: partial 23S ribosomal RNA
Rfam family: Bacterial large subunit ribosomal RNA
Source: RNAcentral
GGAGCACCCUUCGGGGUGUGACUGCGUACCUUUUGUAUAAUGGGUCAGCGACUUAUAUUCUGUAGCAAGGUUAACCGAAUAGGGGAGCCGGAGGGAAACCGAGUCUUAAUUGGGCGUUAAGUUGCAGGGUAUAGACCCGAAACCCGGUGAUCUAGCCAUGGGCAGGUUGAAGGUUGGGUAACACUAACUGGAGGACCGAACCGACUAAUGUUGAAAAAUUAGCGGAUGACCUGUGGCUGGGGGUGAAAGGCCAAUCAAACCGGGAGAUAGCUGGUUCUCCCCGAAAGCUAUUUAGGUAGCGCCUCGUGAAUUCAUCUCCGGGGGUAGAGCACUGUUUCGGCUAGGGGGCCAUCCCGGCUUACCAACCCGAUGCAAACUGCGAAUACCGGAGAAUGUUAUCACGGGAGACACACGGCGGGUGCUAACGUCCGUCGUGAAGAGGGAAACAACCCAGACCGCCAGCUAAGGUCCCAAAGUCAUGGUUAAGUGGGAAACGAUGUGGGAAGGCCCAGACAGCCAGGAUGUUGGCUUAGAAGCAGCCAUCAUUUAAAGAAAGCGUAAUAGCUCACUGGUCGAGUCGGCCUGCGCGGAAGAUGUAACGGGGCUAAACCAUGCACCGAAGCUGCGGCAGCGACACUGUGUGUUGUUGGGUAGGGGAGCGUUCUGUAAGCCUGUGAAGGUGUGUCGUGAGGCAUGCUGGAGGUAUCAGAAGUGCGAAUGCUGACAUAAGUAACGAUAAAGCGGGUGAAAAGCCCGCUCGCCGGAAGACCAAGGGUUCCUGUCCAACGUUAAUCGGGGCAGGGUGAGUCGACCCCUAAGGCGAGGCCGAAAGGCGUAGUCGAUGGGAAACGGGUUAAUAUUCCCGUACUUGGUGUUACUGCGAAGGGGGGACGGAGAAGGCUAUGUUGGCCGGGCGACGGUUGUCCCGGUUUAAGCGUGUAGGUGUGUGUUCCAGGUAAAUCCGGUUCACUUUAACACUGAGGCGUGACGACGAGGCACUACGGUGCUGAAGCAACAAAUGCCCUGCUUCCAGGAAAAGCCUCUAAGCAUCAGGUAACAUCAAAUCGUACCCCAAACCGACACAGGUGGUCAGGUAGAGAAUACCAAGGCGCUUGAGAGAACUCGGGUGAAGGAACUAGGCAAAAUGGUGCCGUAACUUCGGGAGAAGGCACGCUGACACGUAGGUGAAGUGAUUUACUCAUGGAGCUGAAGUCAGUCGAAGAUACCAGCUGGCUGCAACUGUUUAUUAAAAACACAGCACUGUGCAAACACGAAAGUGGACGUAUACGGUGUGACGCCUGCCCGGUGCCGGAAGGUUAAUUGAUGGGGUCAGCGCAAGCGAAGCUCCUGAUCGAAGCCCCGGUAAACGGCGGCCGUAACUAUAACGGUCCUAAGGUAGCGAAAUUCCUUGUCGGGUAAGUUCCGACCUGCACGAAUGGCGUAAUGAUGGCCAGGCUGUCUCCACCCGAGACUCAGUGAAAUUGAACUCGCUGUGAAGAUGCAGUGUACCCGCGGCAAGACGGAAAGACCCCGUGAACCUUUACUAUAGCUUGACACUGAACAUUGAGCCUUGAUGUGUAGGAUAGGUGGGAGGCUUUGAAGCGUGG